RNAcentral lists this ribosomal RNA (300 nucleotides) under Cupriavidus alkaliphilus. Its description in RNAcentral is "partial 16S ribosomal RNA". It matches the Rfam family "Bacterial small subunit ribosomal RNA", at positions 1 to 303 of the family's 1533-position model. The record is from RNAcentral. Lineage: Bacteria; Pseudomonadati; Pseudomonadota; Betaproteobacteria; Burkholderiales; Burkholderiaceae.
GAACUGAAGAGUUUGAUCCUGGCUCAGAUUGAACGCUGGCGGCAUGCCUUACACAUGCAAGUCGAACGGCAGCGCGGGCUUCGGCCUGGCGGCGAGUGGCGAACGGGUGAGUAAUACAUCGGAACGUGCCCUGUCGUGGGGGAUAACUAGUCGAAAGAUUAGCUAAUACCGCAUACGACCUGAGGGUGAAAGCGGGGGACCGUAAGGCCUCGCGCGAUAGGAGCGGCCGAUGUCUGAUUAGCUAGUUGGUGGGGUAAAGGCCUACCAAGGCGACGAUCAGUAGCUGGUCUGAGAGGACGA